RNAcentral lists this unclassified non-coding RNA (431 nucleotides) under fungal sp. RNAcentral describes it as "partial internal transcribed spacer region". The stretch from base 1 to 46 matches the Rfam family "Eukaryotic small subunit ribosomal RNA", at positions 1786 to 1831 of the family's 1831-position model. The record is from RNAcentral. Lineage: Eukaryota; Fungi.
AAGUCGUAACAAGGUUUCCGUAGGUGAACCUGCGGAAGGAUCAUUACCAAAGAACAACUGGUUGGGUUGUUGCUGGCCCCCUCUCCCUUGGAAGGGGCACUGUGCACGCCUUGCCAAUUCACUUUGCUCACCUGUGCACCUCCUUGUAGGCCAGGAUCACCAGAGAGGAAGAAGGGGGGGGGAAACGUGUCUCCUGUCGGAGUGCUCAACUUCUUUUCUUUUGCUUGGUGGAGGGAUCUGCUGUUGUGUCCUCACACGGAAUGGGUAUCUGUGAGAGAACAGAUAUAGACGGCUUUUUCCUUGCUCACGUCUGGCCUAUGCCUUUAUUAAACCUGUAACAUCUGUAUCUGUAUGUGUAUUUGAACAUGUGGGAUAACCACGAUUGUUUUUGAACACCAAUACAACUUUCAACAACGGAUCUCUUGGCUCUC